UUCUCUUGAGAGCGGCGGACGGGUGAGUAAUGCCUAGGAAUCUGCCUGGUAGUGGGGGAUAACGUCCGGAAACGGACGCUAAUACCGCAUACGUCCUACGGGAGAAAGCAGGGGACCUUCGGGCCUUGCGCUAUCAGAUGAGCCUAGGUCGGAUUAGCUAGUUGGUGGGGUAAUGGCUCACCAAGGCGACGAUCCGUAACUGGUCUGAGAGGAUGAUCAGUCACACUGGAACUGAGACACGGUCCAGACUCCUACGGGAGGCAGCAGUGGGGAAUAUUGGACAAUGGGCGAAAGCCUGAUCCAGCCAUGCCGCGUGUGUGAAGAAGGUCUUCGGAUUGUAAAGCACUUUAAGUUGGGAGGAAGGGCAGUAAAUUAAUACUUUGCUGUUUUGACGUUACCGACAGAAUAAGCACCGGCUAACUCUGUGCCAGCAGCCGCGGUAAUACAGAGGGUGCAAGCGUUAAUCGGAAUUACUGGGCGUAAAGCGCGCGUAGGUGGUUCGUUAAGUUGGAUGUGAAAUCCCCGGGCUCAACCUGGGAACUGCAUUCAAAACUGACGAGCUAGAGUAUGGUAGAGGGUGGUGGAAUUUCCUGUGUAGCGGUGAAAUGCGUAGAUAUAGGAAAGGAACACCAGUGGCGAAGGCGACCACCUGGACUGAUACUGACACUGAGGUGCGAAAGCGUGGGGAGCAAACAGGAUUAGAUACUCU
Molecule: ribosomal RNA, 709 nt
Filed under: uncultured bacterium
Lineage: Bacteria
Description: bacterial SSU rRNA
Rfam family: Bacterial small subunit ribosomal RNA
Source: RNAcentral